This is a long non-coding RNA of Lepus europaeus (European hare), 2351 nucleotides long. RefSeq lists it as uncharacterized. NCBI's taxonomy places the organism in Eukaryota, Metazoa, Chordata, Mammalia, Lagomorpha, Leporidae. The transcript is spliced from 4 exons. The record is from RefSeq and is a predicted model, not a curated record.
AAGCGAGCCCGCAGCGGGGGCGAGCAUGCGCAGCAGGGAGACGACGCUCUCGCGUGCUGCGGCCGCCCUUUGAGGGCCCACAGCGCCACCUGGGGACCGGAGGCCGGUAGGAGCGAAGCCAAGCGAUGCUCCCUGCCCGCGCCAGGCCGGGGGUUGGGAGUUGUUUGGGGCGCGAGCCCCCCGAGAGCGCUGCGGGUCCGAGGGCGGCCGCGCGCUGUGUGCGCACGCCCGCAAGCACGCCUUCCCGCCCUCCUGCCGUCACGGGCUUGCCUGCAGAAGCCUGCUGACACGCUGAUGACGGCCCGUUCUGUGAUCCGCUGCCUGACGUCCAGAUGAUCCCCAAAGUACUUCUGUGGCCCGUCUACACAACACGCAGAGCGCUUUCUCCAGGUUAGCUUCGGCCUCCAGAGUCACCUCAGGGUUAGUUUCAGCACUCUUGGGGGCUUUUUCCUCCUCAGUUUGCACUAGCUUUAAAAAGCAAACAGAAAACUGCCUCUAUCCGAGUCCCGCCUGUCCAUCCCAAUCCGCACGCUCCACCGGGCAUCAGGCUGAAGAUGAUGGGGGCACAGAAUUCCACUACCGAUAGGGGUGGUGCAUGACUGAAAUGACAGCUGAAGAGGAGAAAGCUUGGUUUGUGACAAUGCCCUGUGUAGUAUACCUCCUGUGCUCGAUUCUACCUGCUGGAUUGAAAGCCAAGUGUUGAGGAAGGUCGAAUGACAAGACUGAAGAAACCUGAGUCAUGACUUGCAGAAGAGCCUCUUGCUAAUCAGAAAUCUCUUCUGGACUUCAUGUUUGAGAAACAAACGCACUUCAGUUUUGAGCCUUUUUAUAUUUCUGAGUUGAUUUGCCAUGGCAACAGGCAUUCACUAAUACUGUGAAUUUAAGGAGCUGAUUACAUUUUAAGGAGACACCUACUGUAACCCCACCCAACAAACCACAAUAUAAUUUAAUAAGCACUAUAAUGAAAUAAUGAAGGUGAUAUGAAAGUUGGAGGAGGGAGCAGUUAAUUCUGCUCUGAAAGAGCUUUUGGAAGAAGUAAUGUGUGAUCUGGACUCUGAUGAAAACACAGAUAGGAAUUUACCAGGUAGACAAGUAGGGAGAAGGGGUGAUGCCUACUACAAGAGAAGAUGAGCAAAGGCGAGAACACACAUUAUGUGCCCAGGAGUAUGUGCAUACAGCUAGUUGAUUACUAAGUCUCGGAUGGACUAGGAGGACCAGCCAGAGUUCUUGUUUGGAAUGUGGUGGAAUGAGAAGGCCAUGCCAAGAUUGCCGCUGGCAAGUGGGCGUCAGUUACUCAGGAAUGGCUUCGAAACCCACCUGGCAACAGAGCCUGCCUGGCAACAGGCUGUGAUUGGAUGGCUUUGGAAAUCACAUGGCAAACAGAGCCUGCCUGGCAACAGGUUGUGACUGGAUGGCUUCGGAUACUGCCUGGCAACAGGUAGUGAUUGGUGAGGGCAUAAACUGCCCCUUGACCAGAUUGACUGCCUCGGCUAUAUUAGCUGCUGCACCAACUGAAAUAAACGAGUCUAUGGGCUGCUUGCCUCUGGUCCACUUUCACCCGACUCCCAGUAUCUGUGUGGUGACUCCAUGCCUCUUGCCCCCACCGCGCUCCUUCUCUCAGAACAAAUCCACAGCAACAUCUGGUGCCAACGUGACUGAGAGAGAGACAACGUGUCGGACUCGAGAAUGUGGGACAGCCCAUUUGGGUACCAGCCAGAAACAUCAAGUCUGCAAUUGACAGUCAACCAGAACAAGCUGAACAAGACUGAGAGUCAGCCUUGUUAGCAGAAGCACCUGCUGCCUAUUGUCAAGCUGCUGCUCUAUCAUCCUGCCCUGAGAAACUGUCCACAGCCACAUUCACUAUUGCUUGAUACCCCAGUAGCUCUGGUAAGCCACUCAAACAGCCUACAGUCUGCGUGCCAUCAUGCCAUUCCUGGUUAUCAUUGUUACUCAUUCCUACCCCCAUCUGAGCAAGCACUCUUGUGGUCUUCCAGUUUGAAGGCUGGUUAGUCAAUGACGGGUAAGAGUCCCUGGGGGACAACCUAAGACAGCCACAUGGAAACGGGGUCAACAAUGGUAUGGCCAAGGAUAAUGCCUCCUGUUGCUCAAAAAUAAACGAAAAGGGGUAAUGUGGUGGAAUGAGAAGGCCAUGCCAACAUGGCUGCUGGCAAGCGAGCAUCAGUUACUCAGGAAUGGCUUCAAAACCCACCUGGCAAUGGAGCCUGCCUGGCAACAGGCUGUGAUUGGUUAGGGUAUAAACUGCCCCUUGACCAGAUUGACUGCCUCGGGUAUACAAGCUGCUGUACCAACUGAAAUAAAUGAGUCUGUGGGCUGCUCGCCUCUGGCCUGCU